GGUUAAGCGAACAAGCGUACACGGUGGAUGCCCUGGCAGUCAGAGGCGAUGAAGGACGUGCUAAUCUGCGAAAAGCGCCGGUAAGGUGAUAUGAACCGUUAUAACCGGCGAUGUCCGAAUGGGGAAACCCGGUGCACUUCGGUGCAUCAUCGUUAGCUGAAUACAUAGGCUAACGAGGCGAACCGGGGGAACUGAAACAUCUAAGUACCCCGAGGAAAAGAAAUCAACCGAGAUUCCCCCAGUAGCGGCGAGCGAACGGGGAACAGCCCAGAGCCUGAAUCAGCUUGUGUGUCAGUGGAACGGUCUGGAAAGGCCGGCGAUACAGGGUGACAGCCCCGUACACGAAGGCACACAGGCUGUGAGCUCGAUGAGUAGGGCGGGACACGUGAUAUCCUGUCUGAAGAUGGGGGGACCAUCCUCCAAGGCUAAAUACUCCUGACUGACCGAUAGUGAACCAGUACCGUGAGGGAAAGGCGAAAAGAACCCCGGCGAGGGGAGUGAAACAGAACCUGAAACCGUGUACGUACAAGCAGUGGGAGCCUUCGUAAGAGGGUGACUGCGUACCUUUUGUAUAAUGGGUCAGCGACUUAUAUUCUGUAGCAAGGUUAACCGUAUAGGGGAGCCGAAGGGAAACCGAGUCUUAACCGGGCGUUAAGUUGCAGGGUAUAGACCCGAAACCCGGUGAUCUAGCCAUGGGCAGGUUGAAGGUUGGGUAACACUAACUGGAGGACCGAACCGACUAAUGUUGAAAAAUUAGCGGAUGACCUGUGGCUGGGGGUGAAAGGCCAAUCAAACCGGGAGAUAGCUGGUUCUCCCCGAAAGCUAUUUAGGUAGCGCCUCGUGAACUCAUCUCCGGGGGUAGAGCACUGUUUCGGCUAGGGGGCCAUCCCGGCUUACCAACCCGAUGCAAACUGCGAAUACCGGAGAAUGUUAUCACGGGAGACACACGGCGGGUGCUAACGUCCGUCGUGAAGAGGGAAACAACCCAGACCGCCAGCUAAGGUCCCAAAGUCAUGGUUAAGUGGGAAACGAUGUGGGAAGGCCCAGACAGCCAGGAUGUUGGCUUAGAAGCAGCCAUCAUUUAAAGAAAGCGUAAUAGCUCACUGGUCGAGUCGGCCUGCGCGGAAGAUGUAACGGGGCUAAACCAUGCACCGAAGCUGCGGCAGCGACGCUUAUGCGUUGUUGGGUAGGGGAGCGUUCUGUAAGCCUGCGAAGGUGUGCUGUGAGGCAUGCUGGAGGUAUCAGAAGUGCGAAUGCUGACAUAAGUAACGAUAAAGCGGGUGAAAAGCCCGCUCGCCGGAAGACCAAGGGUUCCUGUCCAACGUUAAUCGGGGCAGGGUGAGUCGACCCCUAAGGCGAGGCCGAAAGGCGUAGUCGAUGGGAAACAGGUUAAUAUUCCUGUACUUGGUGUUACUGCGAAGGGGGGACGGAGAAGGCUAUGUCGGCCGGGCGACGGUUGUCCCGGUUUAAGCGUGUAGGCUGACUUUCCAGGCAAAUCCGGAAAGUUAAGGCUGAGGCGUGAUGACGAGGCACCACGGUGCUGAAGUGACAAAUGCCCUGCUUCCAGGAAAAGCCUCUAAGCAUCAGGUAACAUCAAAUCGUACCCCAAACCGACACAGGUGGUCAGGUAGAGAAUACCAAGGCGCUUGAGAGAACUCGGGUGAAGGAACUAGGCAAAAUGGUGCCGUAACUUCGGGAGAAGGCACGCUGACAUGUAGGUGAAGCCCCUGCGGGUGGAGCUGAAGUCAGUCGAAGAUACCAGCUGGCUGCAACUGUUUAUUAAAAACACAGCACUGUGCAAACACGAAAGUGGACGUAUACGGUGUGACGCCUGCCCGGUGCCGGAAGGUUAAUUGAUGGGGUUAUCGCAAGAGAAGCUCCUGAUCGAAGCCCCGGUAAACGGCGGCCGUAACUAUAACGGUCCUAAGGUAGCGAAAUUCCUUGUCGGGUAAGUUCCGACCUGCACGAAUGGCGUAAUGAUGGCCAGGCUGUCUCCACCCGAGACUCAGUGAAAUUGAACUCGCUGUGAAGAUGCAGUGUACCCGCGGCAAGACGGAAAGACCCCGUGAACCUUUACUACAGCUUGACACUGAACAUUGAGCCUUGAUGUGUAGGAUAGGUGGGAGGCUUUGAAGCGUGGACGCCAGUCUGCGUGGAGCCGACCUUGAAAUACCACCCUUUAAUGUUUGAUGUUCUAACCUGGCGCCCUAAUCGGGCGUGGGGACAGUGUCUGGUGGGUAGUUUGACUGGGGCGGUCUCCUCCCAAAGUGUAACGGAGGAGCACGAAGGUCAGCUAAUCCUGGUCGGACAUCAGGAGGUUAGUGCAAUGGCAUAAGCUGGCUUGACUGCGAGAGUGACGGCUCGAGCAGGUGCGAAAGCAGGUCAUAGUGAUCCGGUGGUUCUGUAUGGAAGGGCCAUCGCUCAACGGAUAAAAGGUACUCCGGGGAUAACAGGCUGAUACCGCCCAAGAGUUCAUAUCGACGGCGGUGUUUGGCACCUCGAUGUCGGCUCAUCACAUCCUGGGGCUGAAGUAGGUCCCAAGGGUAUGGCUGUUCGCCAUUUAAAGUGGUACGCGAGCUGGGUUUAGAACGUCGUGAGACAGUUCGGUCCCUAUCUGCCGUGGGCGCUGGAGAAUUGAGGGGGGCUGCUCCCAGUACGAGAGGACCGGAGUGGACGCAUCACUGGUGUUCGGGUUGUCAUGCCAAUGGCACUGCCCGGUAGCUAAAUGCGGAAGAGAUAAGUGCUGAAAGCAUCUAAGCACGAAACUUGCCCCGAGAUGAGUUCUCCCUGAGACU
This 2795-nucleotide ribosomal RNA is filed under the name Cronobacter sakazakii. RNAcentral's name for it is "partial 23S ribosomal RNA". It matches the Rfam family "Bacterial large subunit ribosomal RNA". Lineage: Bacteria; Pseudomonadati; Pseudomonadota; Gammaproteobacteria; Enterobacterales; Enterobacteriaceae. The record is from RNAcentral.